GGAGGCUUUGCCAGCCUGGGC
This 21-nucleotide microRNA is filed under the name Columba livia (rock pigeon). RNAcentral's name for it is "cli-miR-9628-3p". The record is from miRBase by way of RNAcentral. Lineage: Eukaryota; Metazoa; Chordata; Aves; Columbiformes; Columbidae.